UCAAAUAUUCCAGCUUACAUUACGUACCAGUGUAGUAGUUGCGUACCUGGAAAUGGCAAUACAAUGAAAGGAAAAAGAGAUCAGCAACAAUACCAACACCAGCAAUCAACAACAGUUCACAACAGCAACUCAAACAAAUUCAAGGUCCAGAAAAGUUUGGAAACCAAACAGGAUCAAUAGAACAGCCCCGAAAUAAUACCAAAAGUCAGAUUUGAACCCAGGAACUGAAAUGCAAACAACCAGUUGUUCCACCAACUAACUCAAACCAAUCAAACUUGAAACUAAUGGAUUCCGAGUGAAAUCAAAUCUCGAAUGCAGGAUAGAAACAGAUAGUUCGAUUUGUUUCUAAUCUUAAAUGAGCUAAGGAAUUGAAUUCUAUCCCAACACUUCAAAUGAUCCGAAAAGAGGUAAUGAAACUGUAACAUUUCUCUUUCAGCUCUCAAGUCUCUCUAAAACUGACUACCUUCCCAACUCUCAAAGAUGUUGUUCAAAAAAAACUGGCCAACCUCUCAAAAACUCAGUCUGUUUCAAGCUCUAAAGAAACUCUCCAAAAAUGUUCGAAAAAAAAACUCUCAAUGCCUUUAAAGCCCUCCAAAUUAACUGACUUCUUCAUGUCAAAUUUCAACCUUAAACUCCCUCUUAAGUUCUGAACCUCUUUCUUAAUAAACCAGUUCGAUACUUUCCGCUCUCCUAAUACUUAAAAUCUAAUCUUCAAAAAUCCAGUCCCUUUUCAGUUUUGUAUCAAUCCUCUAUAUAAGCUAGAACCAAACAUUUUCUAUUCUAAAUUCCUCAUUUUUCAGCAUGUUUUUAUUUCCUCCCCAUGUGCAUCCUUUACCCUUUUAUCAUUAACCCCUUAAUGUUCUGAUCUUCCACUAGUAAAGUCCUUAUGACAACUCAAACAGUACCCCUUUUUAUUUAAUUAAUUCAAAAACCUGUCAGUUUUAACUGGUCAUUCCUAUUUUUAAAAUUGAACCCCAUGCUGUUUCUGAUUUCCAACUAGCAAACCCACUGAUUUCAUUUUUUAAUCUUAAAGUAUAUGGGGAGCAUGAAUAUUAAUUUCAGGCGCGCCUACAACACAUGGGCUUCACUCAAAUCCCCUAACUCUAUGCUUACUGGUCUGAAACUACAACAUAUAAAAACUCAUACUAAAAAACUAAUUUCAGAUGGAAUUGACAUACUAUUAUAGCCAAUUCAUCCUAGAUUCAGAUUUUAAUUCAAACAAAUGACUCAAUCAGAAUUGAAGCCGUGAAUUAUCAGCAAAUUUGCUAUCAUGUUAUUCCAACAUUCAAACAUGUAAAGCUAAUCGACGACACUUAUUUAUUCGACUAAAUACACAAAAUAGAUAGGCUAAACAUGGAAUAGAGUGAUUCAUGAUUUUGGGACGAACUAGGGGAACUUAACAUGAACUAACUAUUGGACAAUUUUAACCAAGUUGAACACAUAGUUCAUCGCAACCAAUUAACAAACAAAACAGAAAACCGACCAAAUAAAGGGCUUGUGGGAGAUGAAGGAUUUGACAGGAAAAUAAAUAGAAAAAUCAAAUAAAUAAAAACAAAUAUGAAAAUGAACGCAAAUGAUCACAAACAAAAAUAGAAGGAAAAAGAAAACUUAUCUUUCAAAAACUCCUGACCAAACGGACUAGUCUUGAGUCAGACUUGACCAUUUGAGGUCGAACACACUCCCAUCGGGGUGUUCUCAGUUGAGAACACCUAGAUUAAAGACUAUUAUACCUCAAUCUCCCAUCAAUUUGAACAGACGCCUAAUUUUGGAUUUUAUGGUUCAUACAGGUUAUUUGGGACUUGGGUUUUCUAGUUAGAUUCGAACCAAACCCUUGUUGGUUUAGGCAUAAGGGAGGUCAGGGGAGUGUUAGGUAUCAAUUUGGGGUGGUUUGGAGUAAAUUGAGUUUUGGCUCGACUCUUCAAAUGAAGAUUCGAGAAGUUGCCGUUUGAUUCGAGACCAACGGGUAACAGAUUCAUGUUUAGGGUGUCAAGGAGGUUAAGGGGUGUUAGUUUGGUGGACACUGGCAUCGUUGCCUCCAGGUUUCUGGUGUAAAUCACCUCAUGGCGGCUAGGGUUUCAAGGGGAGGUCUGGUCUCUGCGGGUUUGAGAGAGACGACGAAAUGAAAAGGGUGG
RNAcentral lists this long non-coding RNA (2132 nucleotides) under Nicotiana benthamiana. RNAcentral's name for it is "long non-coding RNA (NBEN_LNC003299)". Lineage: Eukaryota; Viridiplantae; Streptophyta; Magnoliopsida; Solanales; Solanaceae. The record is from RNAcentral.